This 351-nucleotide transfer-messenger RNA is filed under the name Gammaproteobacteria (g-proteobacteria). RNAcentral describes it as "Bin55 sp002238665 Standard tmRNA". It matches the Rfam family "transfer-messenger RNA". From Rfam's summary of the family: Bacterial tmRNA, also known as 10Sa RNA or SsrA, is named for its dual tRNA and mRNA-like properties. Its role is to liberate the mRNA from a stalled ribosome. RNAcentral also lists the same sequence under 1 other name. Lineage: Bacteria; Pseudomonadati; Pseudomonadota. The record is from RNAcentral.
GGGGGCGACCCGGAUUCGACGGAGGAAAUAAGACCUAGGUGCAUGCCGAGGCUGUAGUAAACCUCGUAAAAAAUUACUGCUUUAAAUUUAGUUGCCAACGACGACAACUACGCCCUAGCGGCUUAAAGCUAGUCUCUGCCAACCGAUUGCCUAUGUAGGCUGGUGGGGAUCGAUUAAUAGGAUCGCGUUGUGUUCUUGACAUUGGAACAGGAUGCUAAAAAUUAGAUGUCUCGGCUUGUGCUAUCCCGUUCAUUGGAUCAGCGCAAGUCUAAAUUGAAAAGUGAAUCUAAGCAUGUAGAUCCAAAGUUGGAAAGCCUGCGGACGCGGGUUCAAUUCCCGCCGCCUCCACCA